AGCAGCCGCGGUAAUUCCAGCUCCAAUAGCGUAUAUUAAAGUUGUUGCAGUUAAAAAAGCUCGUAGUUGAAUUUCGGGAUCAAUACGUCGGUCGUGCUUUCGGUACGUACUGUCGUCAUUGGUUUCUCCUUUCUGACGAACCAUGAUGUCAUUAAUUUGGUGUUAUGGGAAGUUAGGACUGUUACUUUGAAAAAAUUAGAGUGUUUAAAGCAGGCAUUAGCUUGAAUACAUUAGCAUGGAAUAAUGAAAUAGGACGUUCGAUCCUAUUUUGUUGGUUUCUAGGAUCAACGUAAUGAUUAAUAGGGAUAGUUGGGGGCAUUAGUAUUCAAUUGUCAGAGGUGAAAUUCUUGGAUUUAUUGAAGACUAACUACUGCGAAAAGCAUUUGCCAAGGAUGUUUUCAUUAAUCAAGAACGAAAGUUAGGGGGAUCGAAGACGAUCAGAUACCGUCGUAGUCUUUAACCAUAAAACUAUAGGCCGAACUAGGGAUCGGAUGAUGUUUAAUUUUUAUGUACU
RNAcentral lists this ribosomal RNA (514 nucleotides) under uncultured Glomus. Its description in RNAcentral is "SSU rRNA". It matches the Rfam family "Eukaryotic small subunit ribosomal RNA", at positions 569 to 1076 of the family's 1831-position model. The record is from RNAcentral. Lineage: Eukaryota; Fungi; Glomeromycota; Glomeromycetes; Glomerales; Glomeraceae.